GACGAACGCUGGCGGCGCGCCUAACACAUGCAAGUCGAACGGAGCUGAGAGAAGCUUGCUUUUCUUAGCUUAGUGGCGAACGGGUGAGUAACGCGUGAGUAACCUGCCCUGGAGUGGGGGACAACAGUUGGAAACGACUGCUAAUACCGCAUAAGCCCACGAUCCGGCAUCGGAUUGAGGGAAAAGGAUUUAUUCGCUUCAGGAUGGACUCGCGUCCAAUUAGCUAGUUGGUGAGGUAACGGCCCACCAAGGCGACGAUUGGUAGCCGGACUGAGAGGUUGAACGGCCACAUUGGGACUGAGACACGGCCCAGACUCCUACGGGAGGCAGCAGUGGGGGAUAGUGCAAAAUGGGGGAAACCCUGAUGCAGCGACGCCGCGUGGAGGAAGAAGGUUUUCGGAUUGUAAACUCCUGUCGUUAGGGACGAUAAUGACGGUACCUAACAAGGAAGCACCGGCUAACUACGUG
Molecule: ribosomal RNA, 468 nt
Filed under: uncultured bacterium
Lineage: Bacteria
Description: partial 16S ribosomal RNA
Rfam family: Bacterial small subunit ribosomal RNA
Source: RNAcentral